RNAcentral lists this ribosomal RNA (451 nucleotides) under uncultured eukaryote. Its description in RNAcentral is "SSU rRNA". It matches the Rfam family "Eukaryotic small subunit ribosomal RNA", at positions 619 to 1081 of the family's 1831-position model. The record is from RNAcentral.
UUAAAAAGCUCGUAGUUGGAUUUCUGGGAAGGCGCCAAUGCUAGCUUCUUGCUUUCGCAACGGCACCUUUCCAUCCUUCUGUUAGCGCCUCUUGGCAUUCAUUUGCUGGUGGCGGGCUCAGAUAUUUUACCUUGAGAAAAUUAGAGUGUUUCAGGCAGGCUACGCCGGAAUACAUUAGCAUGGAAUAAUGGAAUAGGACUGAGGUCUCUUUGUUGGUUUGAGGGACUCCAGUAAUGAUUAAUAGGGACAGUUGGGGGCAUUAGUAUUUAUUAGUCAGAGGUGGAAUUCUAUGAUUUGAUAAAAGACUAACUUAUGCGAAAGCAUUUGCCAAGGAUGUUUUCAUUAAUCAAGAACCGAAAGUUAGGGGAUCNAAGACGAUCAGAUACCGUCCUAGUCUUAACCAUAAACUAAUGCCGACUCGGGAUUGGGAAGUGAAGAACUAUCCGCUCUC